Molecule: ribosomal RNA, 557 nt
Filed under: uncultured bacterium
Lineage: Bacteria
Description: bacterial SSU rRNA
Rfam family: Bacterial small subunit ribosomal RNA
Source: RNAcentral
ACGGGUGAGUAACACAUGGGAACGUACCCUUUUCUACGGAAUAACCCAGGGAAACUUGGACUAAUACCGUAUGUGCCCUUCGGGGGAAAGAUUUAUCGGAAAAGGAUCGGCCCGCGUUGGAUUAGCUAGUUGGUGGGGUAAAGGCCUACCAAGGCGACGAUCCAUAGCUGGUCUGAGAGGAUGAUCAGCCACAUUGGGACUGAGACACGGCCCAAACUCCUACGGGAGGCAGCAGUGGGGAAUAUUGGACAAUGGGCGCAAGCCUGAUCCAGCCAUGCCGCGUGAGUGAUGAAGGCCUUAGGGUUGUAAAGCUCUUUCACCGGAGAAGAUAAUGACGGUAUCCGGAGAAGAAGCCCCGGCUAACUUCGUGCCAGCAGCCGCGGUAAUACGAAGGGGGCUAGCGUUGUUCGGAUUUACUGGGCGUAAAGCGCACGUAGGCGGAUCGAUCAGUCAGGGGUGAAAUCCCAGAGCUCAACUCUGGAACUGCCUUUGAUACUGUCGAUCUGGAGUAUGGAAGAGGUGAGUGGAAUUCCGAGUGUAGAGGUGAAAUUCGUAGA